Phrynosoma platyrhinos (Desert horned lizard) is the source of this 75-nucleotide non-coding RNA. The record is from the annotation of a GenBank genome assembly. NCBI's taxonomy places the organism in Eukaryota, Metazoa, Chordata, Lepidosauria, Squamata, Phrynosomatidae.
GCCAGAGUUGUGUAGAGGUUUGAGCAUUGGACUCUGGAGAUUCUGGAGACCAGGGUUCGAAUCCCUGCUCAGCCA